This 1033-nucleotide long non-coding RNA is filed under the name Prunus persica (peach). Its description in RNAcentral is "long non-coding RNA (PPER_LNC007761)". The record is from RNAcentral. Lineage: Eukaryota; Viridiplantae; Streptophyta; Magnoliopsida; Rosales; Rosaceae.
CAUACAAAUUUAAUUAUCUAAGAAAAGAAUAGAUUUUUAAGACUCAAGGAGAACCCGGCAGCUGUGACCGAAAAAGCAUUUUAAAAUAGGAAGCGACGCGUGGCGAGAUGAGUGGGCAGAAAGAGAGCGGGCAGGGGUUUGACGGUGAGCACGUAAAUAUCUCGUGGGAGACGCGGUAGUGGCUGAGCAUCGCCCUAAGAUAUUUUGUCCAGCCAAUCAGCGCCCAGCUCUAGAUAUACACAAACACAACCGAGUCAUCAGAUCUUUAAAAUAAAAAAUAAAAAAAUAAAAAAUAAAAACUUGAGUUAAAUCAGGCCCAAGCGACGUGGCGCAAUGCUGUGCCAGCAAUAUAUCUUCUUGCCUUCUCUCCUCUUGCCCAACUUGGCUCGUGAUCCGUGUGGGUCCCGCCUGACACGUAUGGCCUUUUGCUAUUGGGCUUGGGCCCCAUCUGGCCUUUCGAGGUUUUGAAGGAUGAUGGUGGAUGAUGGUGUCACGGACUCGCGGGCAUGGAUGAGAUGCCAUGUGAGCCUUACCAUCAUACGUGCUGGGUUUCUAUUGGUUGGCGUAAAGUGAUUGGGCAGACGUCUCCGUUGACUAUAACUUCCUGUAUGGGCACCGGGCGCUUCGCUUUGCGUUUUCUUGGAGUGACAGAAAUGCCCUCGGAUAAUUGGAUAUUCUGUUAUUCUAUACCUGUAUUUUUCUCUCCGUAUACCAGUUUCCAAUGAAAAUUUUAGUAAACGUUGAAUAUUUGACAACUAACAAUAACCCUCAAUAUUUGACCAGUUCAUAGUAUUUUGGGGAGGAUGAUUUGUUCUAUUUUUCAAUUUUUUUUUCACCAAGAGGAGAGCAAAUUUUAAUGUGGAGUUUUUAUAUUAAUUGGAAGAAAUGUGUUAAGAUUUUCGAGUGCGAAUUAGUGGCUUAGUACUAUCAAUAUUGAUAUUGUCUCUAAUAUAUACAUUGCCUAACAUAUAUGAGAUUUUAUCACAAAAGACAUUAAUAUUAUUAAUAGUGGACUGCUCAUUAUAUGUUAUCU